This 434-nucleotide ribosomal RNA is filed under the name Achromobacter sp. RNAcentral describes it as "bacterial SSU rRNA". It matches the Rfam family "Bacterial small subunit ribosomal RNA", at positions 48 to 477 of the family's 1533-position model. Lineage: Bacteria; Pseudomonadati; Pseudomonadota; Betaproteobacteria; Burkholderiales; Alcaligenaceae. The record is from RNAcentral.
CUUACACAUGCAAGUCGAACGGCAGCACGGACUUCGGUCUGGUGGCGAGUGGCGAACGGGUGAGUAAUGUAUCGGAACGUGCCCAGUAGCGGGGGAUAACUACGCGAAAGCGUAGCUAAUACCGCAUACGCCCUACGGGGGAAAGCAGGGGAUCGUAAGACCUUGCACUAUUGGAGCGGCCGAUAUCGGAUUAGCUAGUUGGUGGGGUAACGGCUCACCAAGGCGACGAUCCGUAGCUGGUUUGAGAGGACGACCAGCCACACUGGGACUGAGACACGGCCCAGACUCCUACGGGAGGCAGCAGUGGGGAAUUUUGGACAAUGGGGGAAACCCUGAUCCAGCCAUCCCGCGUGUGCGAUGAAGGCCUUCGGGUUGUAAAGCACUUUUGGCAGGAAAGAAACGUCAUGGGUUAAUACCCCGUGAAACUGACGGUA